RNAcentral lists this long non-coding RNA (431 nucleotides) under Ananas comosus (pineapple). RNAcentral's name for it is "long non-coding RNA (ACOM_LNC032105)". Lineage: Eukaryota; Viridiplantae; Streptophyta; Magnoliopsida; Poales; Bromeliaceae. The record is from RNAcentral.
UUUGGUUUGAAAUCGAAUCGUAAAAGCCUGUAAUAAAAAGGUCCGGCGUAGACCAUGAUUAGUUUAUUCGCAAAUUAUUCGCGAAUUUUUGAGAAAACGAAUUAAACUGCCGAAUCCGUAUUUUUUCGGAAAAUUCGGAAAAAACACAUUUUUUGAGAAAAAAUAAUUAUUCGCAAAUUAUUUUUCCAAAUAAUUAUUCGAAAUCCGUAUUUUUCCAAAUAAUUAUUCACCUCAUAGAUGAGUAAAAUUUAACUCACCCGCCAGUCUCUCGAAUAGGGAUGCAAAUGGAUCCGGGGUGGUGGAGCUCCCGCCCCGAUCCGCCCCGAAUGGGGUAGUAAACAGGAGGAAAUAAACGGAUUCAUGGCAGGAAAUGGGGCAAUUUUAUGAUCCGUGAAGGAUUCGGGGUAGGAAACGGGAAAAUUUUUGAUCCG